AGAGGUGUAGGUCGUAAAAAGAUUUCUAAUCUUUUGUACAAGCAGUUCGACUCUGUUUACUUCUU
RNAcentral lists this transfer RNA (65 nucleotides) under Meretrix lamarckii (Korean hard clam). RNAcentral describes it as "tRNA-Ser". Lineage: Eukaryota; Metazoa; Mollusca; Bivalvia; Venerida; Veneridae. The record is from RNAcentral.